CUUCUUGAUCCUGAAGUGGAUUAGGUGCCGCUGUUGCUGCUCUUGUUGAAUCUAGAACUGUAGCCAGACAUGGGACUGGAGGACGAGCGAAAGAUGCUUCCGGAGUCCGGAGAUCCUGAGGAGGAGGAAGAGGAAGAGGAGGAAUUAGUGGAUCCCCUAACAACAGUGAGAGAGCAAUGCGAGCAGUUGGAGAAAUGUGUAAAGGCCCGGGAGCGGCUAGAGCUCUGUGAUGAGCAUGUAUCCUCUCGAUCACAUACAGAAGAGGAUUGCACGGAGGAGCUCUUAGACUUCUUGUAUGCAAGGGACCAUUGCAUGGCCCACAAACUCUUUAACAACUUGAAAUAAGUGUGUGGACUUAUUCACCCCAGCCUUCAUCUUCUGGGCAUCAGAAUAUUUCCUUAUGGUUUUGGAUUUACCAUUUGUUUCUUAUUUGUGUAACUGUAAGUUCACAUGAACCUCAUGGAUUUUGGCUUAGGCUGGUAGCUUCUAUGUAAUUCGCAGUGAUUCCAUCUUAAUAAAAUUCUGUGUUCUGUGAUCUGCAAAAAAAAAAAAAA
Molecule: RNA transcript, 554 nt
Organism: Mandrillus leucophaeus (drill)
Lineage: Eukaryota; Metazoa; Chordata; Mammalia; Primates; Cercopithecidae
Gene name: cytochrome b-c1 complex subunit 6, mitochondrial pseudogene
Exons: 1
Source: RefSeq, a predicted model, not a curated record